RNAcentral lists this ribosomal RNA (539 nucleotides) under Zelus means. RNAcentral's name for it is "partial 16S ribosomal RNA". It matches the Rfam family "Bacterial large subunit ribosomal RNA", at positions 1809 to 2619 of the family's 2925-position model. Lineage: Eukaryota; Metazoa; Arthropoda; Insecta; Hemiptera; Reduviidae. The record is from RNAcentral.
AAAAACAUGUCCUUUUGUUUUAUAUAUAAGGUCUAACCUGCCCAAUGAUUUUAUUUAAUGGCCGCGGUAUAUUAACUGUGCUAAGGUAGCAUAAUCAUUUGUCUUUUAAUUAAAGGCUAGAAUGAAUGGUUGGACGAGGUAUUUUCUUUCUUUAAUUUAGUUAAUGAACUUAAUUUUUUAGUUAAAAAGCUAAAAUUUAUUUGGGGGACGAGAAGACCCUAUAGAUCUUUAUAUCUUUCUUUAUUAUAUAUUUUAGAUAUAUUAAUUGUUUUAAUAAUUUAAGGUAUUUGAUUGGGGUGAUUAUAGAAUUUAAAUUAACUUCUAUUUUAUUUAUUCAUUAAUUAAUGUUUUUUUGAUCCAAUAUUAUUGAUUAUAAGAUUAAGUUACCUUAGGGAUAACAGCGUAAUUCCUUUGGAGAGCUCAUAUCGAUGAAGGAGUUUGCGACCUCGAUGUUGGAUUAAAAUAAGUUUUAGGUGUAGAAGCUUAAAAACUAGGUCUGUUCGACCUUUGAUUUUUUACAUGAUCUGAGUUCAAACCGG